CUUUCCACGUUGCACAAGCCCAGCGCACGGUACCCACUGGAUAUGCCCGAGGCCUCCAGAGGAAAGGAAAGGAGGAAAAGGGACAGAAGAAAUGUUCACAGGAACUGCAUAUGGGCCUGCUACUUGUGUCAAAAUGUGACUGAACUCUCUUCCAGCAGCUUACUCUGAGGGAGGUCUGAAUGCCAUAUUGUGAGCGGCCCUGCUGAAAGACCCAUGUGGCAAGGAUCUGAGAUCAUUGGCCAACAGGCUGCAAAGAGUCCUACCAACAGCCAGGCUGGUGUUCUUGGAAGUGGAUCUUCUCCUACUCUCCUACUUGAGAUGACUGCAGCCCCAGCUAACACUUCGAUUGCAGCCUUGUUAAGAUAUCACGGGCCAGACACACCCAGCUAAGUUAUGCCUGAGUUACUAGCCCACAGAAAUGAUAAGAUAAUAAAUAUUUGCUGUUUUAAGCUGCUAAGUUUUGGGUUAAUUUGUUAUACAACAAUGGAUAACUAAUACAAGUGCAGUCAUUGAUCUCAUUGAACACACCCGUAAUUCUUUGGAAAAAUGUCUACUUUCUCACCAAACUAAAAUCCAUUAAUUCCAGUAGUUAGGUGUUUGGCAAUGCCUUUAAAACGAUGCAUAGAAGUACAUGGCCAGGUCUUUAAAAUUGCGUUGCUAGACUGAAGAAGAGCUGUCUGACUUACUGGGCUUCCCACGUUCCUGCCUUCAGUUCCUGGGUUAGUGUCACAGGUUGCGGAUUUUCCACUCCAUCUCCCAGUCAUGUCUCUGGCACUUCCCCCGCUUGGCUCCUAGUAAUCAACUUUGGCUGACCUCUAACUCUCCACCUCCUGGACCACAAAAUAAACCCA
Molecule: long non-coding RNA, 851 nt
Organism: Homo sapiens (human)
Lineage: Eukaryota; Metazoa; Chordata; Mammalia; Primates; Hominidae
Source: Ensembl